AGAGUUUGAUCCUGGCUCAGGACGAACGCUGGCGGCGUGCUUAACACAUGCAAGUCGAGCGGAAAGGCCCUUCGGGGCACUCGAGCGGCGAACGGGUGAGUAACACGUGAGUAACCUGCCCUAGGCUUUGGGAUAACCCUCGGAAACGGGGGCUAAUACCGAAUAUUCAGGCUGUGUGGCAUCACAUGGUUUGGAAAGUUUUUCGGCUUGGGAUGGGCUCGCGGCCUAUCAGCUUGUUGGUGGGGUGAUGGCCUACCAAGGCGACGACGGGUAGCCGGCCUGAGAGGGCGACCGGCCACACUGGGACUGAGACACGGCCCAGACUCCUACGGGAGGCAGCAGUGGGGAAUAUUGCACAAUGGGCGGAAGCCUGAUGCAGCGACGCCGCGUGAGGGAUGAAGGCCUUCGGGUUGUAAACCUCUUUCGACAGGGACGAAGCGCAAGUGACGGUACCUGGAGAAGAAGCGCCGGCCAACUACGUGCCAGCAGCCGCGGUAAGACGUAGGGCGCGAGCGUUGUCCGGAUUUAUUGGGCGUAAAGAGCUCGUAGGCGGCUUGUUGCGUCAGCUGUGAAAACCCGCAGCUCAACUGUGGGCUUGCAGCUGAUACGGGCAGGCUUGAGUUCGGUAGGGGAGACUGGAAUUCCUGGUGUAGCGGUGAAAUGCGCAGAUAUCAGGAGGAACACCGGUGGCGAAGGCGGGUCUCUGGGCCGAUACUGACGCUGAGGAGCGAAAGCGUGGGGAGCGAACAGGAUUAGAUACCCUGGUAGUCCACGCUGUAAACGUUGGGCGCUAGGUGUGGGGGGCCUCUCCGGUUCUCUGUGCCGCAGCUAACGCAUUAAGCGCCCCGCCUGGGGAGUACGGCCGCAAGGCUAAAACUCAAAGGAAUUGACGG
RNAcentral lists this ribosomal RNA (893 nucleotides) under uncultured bacterium. RNAcentral's name for it is "bacterial SSU rRNA". It matches the Rfam family "Bacterial small subunit ribosomal RNA", at positions 8 to 916 of the family's 1533-position model. The record is from RNAcentral.